AGAGUUUGGUUGUAGCUGGCUCCUAAUUAAACUUGGGGGCAUGUGCACACCUUUCUCUUUCAUCCCAUACACACCUGUGCACCUGUGAGACAGAUGUUUUGUGGGGGGGAAGGAACUUUAUUGGACCUUCUACUCCCCCUUGACUUCUGUCUACUUAAUUCAUAUAAACUCAAUUUAUUUUAAAACGGAUGUAAUGGAUGUAACACAUCUAAUACUAAGUUUCAACAACGGAUCUCUUGGCUCUCGCAUCGAUGAAGAACGCAGCGAAAUGCGAUAAGUAAUGUGAAUUGCAGAAUUCAGUGAAUCAUCGAAUCUUUGAACGCACCUUGCGCUCCUUGGUAUUCCUUGGAGCAUGCCUGUUUGAGUAUCAUGAAAUCUUCAAAGUCAAACCUUUUGUUAAUUCAAUUGGUUCUGCUUUGGUAUUGGAGGAUUAUUGCAGCUUCACACCUGCUCCUCUUUGUGCAUUAGCUGGAUCUCAGUGUUAUGCUUGGUUCCACUCAGCGUGAUAAGUUAUCUAUCGCUGAGGACACCCUGUUAAAAAGGGGUGGCCAAGGUAAAUGCAGAUGAACCGCUUCUAAUAGUCCAUUGACUUGGMCAAUAUCUAAUUUAUGACUGAUCUCAAAAUCAAGUAGGACUACCCG
This 641-nucleotide ribosomal RNA is filed under the name Thanatephorus sp. CBS 325.47. RNAcentral describes it as "eukaryotic LSU rRNA". The stretch from base 217 to 370 matches the Rfam family "5.8S ribosomal RNA". Lineage: Eukaryota; Fungi; Basidiomycota; Agaricomycetes; Cantharellales; Ceratobasidiaceae. The record is from RNAcentral.